This 253-nucleotide ribosomal RNA is filed under the name uncultured bacterium. Its description in RNAcentral is "partial 16S ribosomal RNA". It matches the Rfam family "Bacterial small subunit ribosomal RNA", at positions 524 to 776 of the family's 1533-position model. The record is from RNAcentral.
UACGUAGGGGGCUAGCGUUGUCCGGAAUCAUUGGGCGUAAAGAGCGUGUAGGCGGCCCGAUAAGUCCGCUGUGAAAGUCCAGGGCUCAACCCUGGAAUGCCAGUGGAAACUGUCGGGCUGGAGUCCGGAAGAGGCGAGUGGAAUUCCUGGUGUAGCGGUGAAAUGCGCAGAUAUCAGGAGGAACACCAAUGGCGAAGGCAGCUCGCUGGGACGGUACUGACGCUGAGAAGCGAAAGCAUGGGGGGCGAACAGG